This 397-nucleotide ribosomal RNA is filed under the name uncultured bacterium SY2-25. RNAcentral's name for it is "bacterial SSU rRNA". It matches the Rfam family "Bacterial small subunit ribosomal RNA", at positions 8 to 436 of the family's 1533-position model. Lineage: Bacteria; Bacillati; Cyanobacteriota; Cyanophyceae; Chroococcales; Microcystaceae. The record is from RNAcentral.
AGAGUUUGAUCCUGGCUCAGGAUGAACGCUGGCGGCGUGCUUAACACAUGCAAGUCGAACGAACCUUCGGGUUAGUGGCGGACGGGUGAGUAACGCGUGAGAAUCUGCCCUCAGGAGGGGGAUAACGGCUGGAAACGGCCGCUAAUACCCCAUAUGCCGAGAGGUGAAAUGAAAUUCGCCUGAGGAUGAGCUCGCGUCUGAUUAGCUAGUUGGUGUGGUAAUGGCGCACCAAGGCGACGAUCUGUAGCUGGUCUGAGAGGAUGAGCAGCCACACUGGGACUGAGACACGGCCCAGACUCCUACGGGAGGCAGCAGUGGGGAAUUUUCCGCAAUGGGCGAAAGCCUGACGGAGCAAGACCGCGUGAGGGAGGAAGGCUCUUGGGUUGUAAACCUCUUU